Molecule: ribosomal RNA, 252 nt
Filed under: uncultured bacterium
Lineage: Bacteria
Description: partial 16S ribosomal RNA
Rfam family: Bacterial small subunit ribosomal RNA
Source: RNAcentral
GCAAGUCGAGCGGAAACAAGAAGUAGCUUUCUACUUCGGCGUCGCGCGGCGGACGGGUGUGAAAUGCCUGGGAAAUUGCCCUGAUGUGGGGGAUAACCAUUGGAAACGCUGGCUAUUACCGCAUAUUGCCUUCGGGCCAAAGAGGGGGACCUUCGGGCCGUUCGCGUUAGGAUAUGACUAGGUGGGAUUAGCUAGUUGGUGGGGUAAGGGAGCACCAAGGCGACGAUCCCGAGCUGGUCUGAGAGGAUGAUC